RNAcentral lists this ribosomal RNA (367 nucleotides) under Chaetodon speculum (mirror butterflyfish). RNAcentral describes it as "partial 12S ribosomal RNA". It matches the Rfam family "Bacterial small subunit ribosomal RNA", at positions 801 to 1372 of the family's 1533-position model. The record is from RNAcentral. Lineage: Eukaryota; Metazoa; Chordata; Actinopteri; Chaetodontiformes; Chaetodontidae.
UAAACAUUGACAGUUAAUCACACCCACUGUCCGCCUGGGAACUACGAGCACCAGCUUAAAACCCAAAGGACUUGGCGGUGCUUUAGACCCACCUAGAGGAGCCUGUUCUAGAACCGAUAUUCCCCGUUAAACCUCACCCUUCCUUGUCAUUUCCGCCUAUAUACCACCGUCGCCAGCUUACCCUGUGAAGGCCCUAUAGUAAGCACAAUCGGUAAAACCCAGAACGUCAGGUCGAGGUGUAGCGAAUGGAAGGGGAAGAAAUGGGCUACAUUUACUGAUACAGUAAAUACGGAUGAUCACCCUGCAACGAGUAUCUGAAGGAGGAUUUAGCAGUAAGCAAAAAAUAGAGUGUUUUGCUGAAAUUGGC